RNAcentral lists this ribosomal RNA (253 nucleotides) under uncultured bacterium. RNAcentral describes it as "partial 16S ribosomal RNA". It matches the Rfam family "Bacterial small subunit ribosomal RNA", at positions 524 to 776 of the family's 1533-position model. The record is from RNAcentral.
UACGGAGGGGGCGAGCGUUAUUCGGAAUUAUUGGGCGUAAAGGGCGCGUAGGCGGCCUUGUAAGUCAAAGGUGAAAUCCCUCGGCUCAACUGAGGAACUGCCUUUGAAACUGCAAGGCUUGAGGCCGGGAGGGGGUAGCGGAAUUCCCAAUGUAGCGGUGAAAUGCGUAGAUAUUGGGAGGAACACCAGUGGCGAAGGCGGCUACCUGGACCGGUUCUGACGCUGAGGCGCGAAAGCCAGGGGAGCGAACGGG